GAUGAAGAACGUAGCGAAAUGCGAUAAGUAAUGUGAAUUGCAGAAUUCAGUGAAUCAUCGAAUCUUUGAACGCACCUUGCGCUCCUUGGUAUUCCGAGGAGCAUGCCUGUUUGAGUGUCAUGAAAUUCUCAACCUUUCUGGCUUUUGCUAGUCAGGCUUGGAUUAUGGGAGCUGCUGGCUUUUGAAGUCGGCUCUUCUAAAAUGUAUUAGCAAGAUCAUUGCUGCUCAUCAUUGGUAUGAUAAUUAUCUAUAUCAUUGAGAGUCAGUUUCCUUUAUUGGAAGAUUUUGCUCCUAACGGUCUUUAGCAAGACAACAUUUGACGAUUUUGACCUCAAAUCAGUAGGACUACCCGCUGAACUUAAGCAUAUCAAUAAGCGGAGGA
RNAcentral lists this unclassified non-coding RNA (382 nucleotides) under soil metagenome. Its description in RNAcentral is "partial contains 5.8S ribosomal RNA, internal transcribed spacer 2, and large subunit ribosomal RNA". The stretch from base 1 to 120 matches the Rfam family "5.8S ribosomal RNA", at positions 35 to 154 of the family's 154-position model. The record is from RNAcentral.